RNAcentral lists this unclassified non-coding RNA (539 nucleotides) under Penicillium chrysogenum. RNAcentral's name for it is "sequence contains 18S rRNA gene, ITS1, 5.8S rRNA gene, 28S rRNA gene". The stretch from base 160 to 312 matches the Rfam family "5.8S ribosomal RNA". The record is from RNAcentral. Lineage: Eukaryota; Fungi; Ascomycota; Eurotiomycetes; Eurotiales; Aspergillaceae.
GGGUCCAACCUCCCACCCGUGUUUAUUUUACCUUGUUGCUUCGGCGGGCCCGCCUUAACUGGCCGCCGGGGGGCUUACGCCCCCGGGCCCGCGCCCGCCGAAGACACCCUCGAACUCUGUCUGAAGAUUGUAGUCUGAGUGAAAAUAUAAAUUAUUUAAAACUUUCAACAACGGAUCUCUUGGUUCCGGCAUCGAUGAAGAACGCAGCGAAAUGCGAUACGUAAUGUGAAUUGCAAAUUCAGUGAAUCAUCGAGUCUUUGAACGCACAUUGCGCCCCCUGGUAUUCCGGGGGGCAUGCCUGUCCGAGCGUCAUUGCUGCCCUCAAGCACGGCUUGUGUGUUGGGCCCCGUCCUCCGAUCCCGGGGGACGGGCCCGAAAGGCAGCGGCGGCACCGCGUCCGGUCCUCGAGCGUAUGGGGCUUUGUCACCCGCUCUGUAGGCCCGGCCGGCGCUUGCCGAUCAACCCAAAUUUUUAUCCAGGUUGACCUCGGAUCAGGUAGGGAUACCCGCUGAACUUAAGCAUAUCAAUAAGCGGAGGAA